Molecule: long non-coding RNA, 314 nt
Filed under: Brassica napus (rape)
Lineage: Eukaryota; Viridiplantae; Streptophyta; Magnoliopsida; Brassicales; Brassicaceae
Description: long non-coding RNA (BNAP_LNC025012)
Source: RNAcentral
UUUCAGAGUUUUUCAUGAAUAAGUUGUAUUUUUAAAUAAUUUUCUUAAAAACUGCUAUUUUUGGAAAGUUUUCAUUUUUUAGAGAAAUUUUAUAGAUUUGGGUUUGUGAUUUACACAUUAGGAUAACAAAUAUAUUUAUGGAUAGAUGAGUAUUCUUUCAGAAUUUUUCAUCAUUAUAUUAUUUUUUUAAAUAAUUAUCUUAAAAGCUGUUAUUUUUGGAAAGUUUUCAUUUUUUAGAGAACUUUUAUAGAUUUGGGUUUGUGAUUUAGAAAUUUGGAUAACAAAUAUAUUUAUGGAUAAAUGAGUAUGCUUUC